GAGACCACCUGGCCCAGGGACCUCCGAGGCAGGCAGUCAAGCCACACUGGGACACAGAGUCACACUUCCUUCCUUCUUCCAUAGGAGAACCUGCGAGAGUUCUCACAGCUGGUCGGAGAGGGCAGUGUCCCAGCUUACAGAGACGUGGUGGAGCACAGUACAGUGGCUCAGCUGGAGGGGAUGAGGGGAAUCCAGCAUGAAGACAAGGGGGCACCUGCCUGUUCAUCAACUGGGAGUUCCAUCAUGAAAGCUAAUCGAGUAUUCGCCAAGCUAAUGAGGAACGGUUGAGCCAUACACAGAUACGUCCUGGCCCUGUCUCUCAGUUCUGGGGAAAGCCCUCCUUGAGGCAGGUUGUCCCUUAACCUUCCUGGGACAUGCGCUGUGUGGCAACCUGGAGAAGCAGACAGAGGUGUUCGAAUGAGCUCACCUGGCUGGGAAGGUGCCGGAACUUUGAACCAGGACUCCAGGACACGUCCAGACUCUUCUGGGAUCGCCCAUGUUGCCAUCUCUUCCUCUUCCCAGAAAUCUAGUGGGUGGCUGUGGACCAAUUCCAUCUCAAGCUACCUGUGUCACUGCUGCCAGGCGCAGGUGAAGAAAGAAAGCUGUCAGGGUCUCCAGGCCUGCCAGCUCACGUGGACACCAGGCUUGCUCCACAUGCAUUUUGCAUUGAGUGUUAUUUGUAUAGCUGCUACUGGGAUCAUUUGAGAACUCCAAGCUCCCAAAUCUAAAGGCAGCAGACAAAGGCGGUUUUC
Long non-coding RNA from Mus musculus (house mouse), 752 nucleotides. RefSeq annotates it as predicted gene, 33914. NCBI's taxonomy places the organism in Eukaryota, Metazoa, Chordata, Mammalia, Rodentia, Muridae. The record is from RefSeq and is a predicted model, not a curated record. The transcript has 5 exons.